This is a long non-coding RNA of Nicotiana tabacum (common tobacco), 847 nucleotides long. RefSeq lists it as uncharacterized. The record is from RefSeq and is a predicted model, not a curated record. Lineage: Eukaryota; Viridiplantae; Streptophyta; Magnoliopsida; Solanales; Solanaceae.
CCACUUUGGAGCUUAGCCGUUCAUUUCUACAUUCUCCAGAAAGUUCUCCUUUUCCUCUCUACGAUCGUGAUCAUUCAUAUAGGUGUAUCUUGAUCCUGAAUCGAUUCUAACAUGGUAUCAGAGCCAUGGAAAUCACUUAGUUGAAUUUAUACAGUGAUUUCUCUAAACCAUAAUUUCUUCGAUCAGAGAGAAAUUAGGUGUUUUUGUGUCGAAUCUCACUUUAGCAUUUCUUUUCGGAGGUUUUCGUUGGGGAUUUUUCUCUGAUCGUCCGAUUGGCAUUUUCUUUUUGUUAUCUUCUGACUGCGUGGGGUUUUCUUCGAUUUCAUUCGUCGGCAUCGUGAUUAGGGAUUUUGUCUGCUAAAGGACGAUUUUACUUUGGUUUUCAUAAUGUUCUGCUGGUGUUCUAGUGUUUCAAGCUGACGAAUUGAUGAAAGGUUUCGAAGUCUGCUACUACAAUUGUUUUGGUUGAGUUUCCCUGCUUUGAAGACUGGCUUGCACAGGCUCAUUCUUCAUGCUUCACAAGAUCUGGAGAAGCAGAUAGUUAGUACUGCUCUGAAUAUUCAGAAAUUGAAUCUCGUGUCCAAAUUCGGAUGGGAAUCUGAAACUACUUUCCCGAAGGUAUUGCAAACUUGCUCUCAAAGUUGGGCAUAACUAAUUUGAAAACCAGGAAAUUAAAGUCGGGAUCUCUUUCCGCGAUCAAAGUGUAAUUUAUUCCCACUUCCAUCAUUCUUAACCUCAUCUCUUUGUCGAGAGCUUCACAUGUACUUUAAGGUCAACAUAAAUUUAUAGUAUUCUCUAUGCUAAUUUGAUUUCUAUUUAUAGGUUUAUCGACAGUCCUCCCUACGAA